This 252-nucleotide ribosomal RNA is filed under the name uncultured bacterium. RNAcentral describes it as "partial 16S ribosomal RNA". It matches the Rfam family "Bacterial small subunit ribosomal RNA", at positions 524 to 776 of the family's 1533-position model. The record is from RNAcentral.
UACGUAGGGGCAAGCGUUGUCCGGAAUCAUUGGGCGUAAAGAGCGCGUAGGCGGUCCGGUAAGUCCGCUCUGAAAGUCCGGGGCUCAACCCCGGGAGGCGGGCGGAUACUGUCGGGCUAGAGUCCGGAAGAGGCGAGUGGAAUUCCUGGUGUAGCGGUGAAAUGCGCAGAUAUCAGGAGGAACACCGAUGGCGAAGGCAGGUCACUGGGCCGCGAACUGACGCUGAGGAGCGAAAGCGUGGGAGCGAACAGG